Molecule: ribosomal RNA, 303 nt
Filed under: uncultured fungus
Lineage: Eukaryota; Fungi
Description: eukaryotic LSU rRNA
Source: RNAcentral
AACGCACCUUGCGCUCUUGGGCCAUUCCUAAGAGCAUGCCUGUUUGAGUGUCGUGAACUCCUCAACCCUGGAUGGAUUUUGAAUCCGACCGGUGGCUUGGAUUUGGGGGCUUGCUGGCCGUUUCGAUUCGGUCUGCUCCCCUUGAAUGCAUUAGCUUGGACUUGCGACUUAGGCUACAUAGUGUGAUAAUGAUCACCGUGGCUGGAUUGCUUUAACGUCUAUGCCCAACCUUUUCCAUUGACUUGGAAAAACCCCACUUGACAUUUUGACCUCAAAUCAGGUAGGACUACCCGCUGAACUUAA